Molecule: long non-coding RNA, 732 nt
Organism: Rhinolophus ferrumequinum (greater horseshoe bat)
Lineage: Eukaryota; Metazoa; Chordata; Mammalia; Chiroptera; Rhinolophidae
Exons: 3
Source: RefSeq, a predicted model, not a curated record
AAUUUCCUUAACCAAAAGAAGAAUUAGAGCCACAAGGACGGGUGAAGAGAUGCAGAUUUAAGUGGCCAUCAUCACUGUACUGCCACACGGAAGUGAUUUACCUCCCCCAGUGAAUGCAAGAUACUGUCGGUGUUACGUGGAACAAAUGCAACCAGCUCAUAUCAACUUUCCUCCAAGAGUAUUUCUACUGAGCCUUGUUUUCACUGAGGAAUCGAUAGUGCUAGAAGCUCUGAGGUUCAGCAGGCCCUCAAGUUGGGUGUCAAGAUUGCUCUGCAGCCUCCAGGUCCAACUGUCCUUCCUCUCUCUGCUUAAGAAUUCAAGAGCCUCAUGGGCCUCUUCUGGUUCUAAAGAAUACAGCAAGGACAUCGUCCAAAUCAGGUAAAGGGUCUGCCCCUUGUAUGGUUCAUGAAAUAUGACCCAUGGAUUUAAAAAAUGGAUACGAUGGUACUAUGCAGAGAAGGAACAGAUUAAAUUAUAACCUCUAGAGGCAAGACAUGUAUCUUAUUUAUCUUCAUCCUUCUUCAUGGACUAACAAAGGACCGUGACCAAUAAUUUUGACCAAGGAAUUAAAAAAAUAAAAAAUAGAAUUGGAACAAACAAACAAAUACCAGGAAUAAAAAUGUCAUUGAUGCCAUAUACUCAUAUUUGGGUUUCUAAACUCUACAACGAAUACCCAUGUCAUGCUUUUUGCACACGAGGAAGUAGAUCUAAAAGUGCCCCCACGUACUGAGG